This 713-nucleotide ribosomal RNA is filed under the name uncultured bacterium. RNAcentral describes it as "bacterial SSU rRNA". It matches the Rfam family "Bacterial small subunit ribosomal RNA", at positions 169 to 883 of the family's 1533-position model. The record is from RNAcentral.
CCCAAUGACGUCUCUAGAAGACAUCUGAAGGAGAUUAAAGAUUUAUCGGUGAUGGAUGGGGAUGCGUCUGAUUAGCUUGUUGGCGGGGUAACGGCCCACCAAGGUUACGAUCAGUAGGGGUUCUGAGAGGAAGGUCCCCCACAUUGGAACUGAGACACGGUCCAAACUCCUACGGGAGGCAGCAGUGAGGAAUAUUGGUCAAUGGGCGAGAGCCUGAACCAGCCAAGUAGCGUGCAGGAAGACGGCCCUAUGGGUUGUAAACUGCUUUUAUAAGGGAAUAAAGUGAGUCUCGUGAGACUUUUUGCAUGUACCUUAUGAAUAAGGACCGGCUAAUUCCGUGCCAGCAGCCGCGGUAAUACGGAAGGUUCGGGCGUUAUCCGGAUUUAUUGGGUUUAAAGGGAGCGUAGGCCGGAGAUUAAGCGUGUUGUGAAAUGUAGACGCUCAACGUCUGCACUGCAGCGCGAACUGGUUUCCUUGAGUACGCACAAAGUGGGCGGAAUUCGUGGUGUAGCGGUGAAAUGCUUAGAUAUCACGAAGAACUCCGAUUGCGAAGGCAGCUCACUGGAGCGCAACUGACGCUGAAGCUCGAAAGUGCGGGUAUCGAACAGGAUUAGAUACCCUGGUAGUCCGCACGGUAAACGAUGGAUGCCCGCUGUUGGUCUGAAUAGGUCAGCGGCCAAGCGAAAGCAUUAAGCAUCCCACCUGGGGAGUAC